UACGUAGGGUGCAAACGUUGUUCGGAAUCACUGGGCCUAAAGAGCGCGUAGGCGGUCUGACAAGUCCCCUGUGAAAGCCCCCGGCUUAACCGGGGAACUGCAUGGGAUACUGUUGGGCUAGAGUGCAGGAGGGGAGAGCGGAAUUCCUGGUGGAGCGGUGAAAUGCGUAGAUAUCAGGAGGAACGCCGGCGGCGAAAGCGACUCUCUGGCCUGUAACUGACGCUGAGGCGCGAAAGCUAGGGGAGCAAACGGG
RNAcentral lists this ribosomal RNA (253 nucleotides) under uncultured bacterium. Its description in RNAcentral is "partial 16S ribosomal RNA". It matches the Rfam family "Bacterial small subunit ribosomal RNA", at positions 524 to 776 of the family's 1533-position model. The record is from RNAcentral.